AUCCUUUUGUAGCUCAUGAGCAUGAUGAUUGGGUGUUCACAUGCAUGUGUGAAAUGUACCACUCUCUGAACCUUGUUACUACAUCGACGCACCACCUGUUGGACC
This is a small nucleolar RNA of Saimiri boliviensis boliviensis (Bolivian squirrel monkey), 105 nucleotides long. RefSeq annotates it as small nucleolar RNA U13. Lineage: Eukaryota; Metazoa; Chordata; Mammalia; Primates; Cebidae. The record is from RefSeq and is a predicted model, not a curated record.